AGAUGUGAGAGCAAUCCAGCUGCAAGAUGACACACCCUGUUGGUGACCAGGGUUGAUUCAACUGACCCGGCUGAGUAGGAGCGUGUCCCCUCCCUCCCUCACUGCUCCAUGUGCGUUCUGUGGACUCAGUGGAAGAGGAUGACCUUCCCGGAUGGAGGAGGACCAUUCUUCCCUGGAGGAUACACAAGUAGCUACACUCCCCAGCUGGAACCUCCAAACCUGCCCCCAGGAAAGUUCCCAGGUGAUGCUAAGCAUAGCCAAGCUUGAGAGCCACUGCUUAAAGCUAAACUGAGAUCAAGGAUU
Molecule: unclassified non-coding RNA, 303 nt
Organism: Ictidomys tridecemlineatus (thirteen-lined ground squirrel)
Lineage: Eukaryota; Metazoa; Chordata; Mammalia; Rodentia; Sciuridae
Gene: 7SK
Rfam family: 7SK RNA
About the family: 7SK was discovered as an abundant small nuclear RNA in the mid-70s but a possible function has only recently been suggested. Two independent studies have found that 7SK RNA binds the CDK9/cyclin T complex (known as elongation factor P-TEFb). P-TEFb activates transcription by phosphorylating the C-terminal domain of RNA polymerase II.
Source: Ensembl